Molecule: ribosomal RNA, 904 nt
Filed under: uncultured bacterium
Lineage: Bacteria
Description: bacterial SSU rRNA
Rfam family: Bacterial small subunit ribosomal RNA
Source: RNAcentral
ACGCUAGCUAUAGGCUUAACACAUGCAAGUCGAGGGGAAACGGCAUUAUGUGCUUGCACAUUUUGGACGUCGACCGGCGCACGGGUGAGUAUCGCGUAUCCAACCUGCCCUUUACUUGGGGAUACCCCGUUGAAAGACGGCCUAAUACCCGAUGUAAUUCAUUGAUGGCAUCAGAUAUGAAUAAAAGAUUUAUCGGUAAAGGAUGGGGAUGCGUCUGAUUAGCUUGUUGGUGAGGUAAAGGCUCACCAAGGCGACGAUCAGUAGGGGUUCUGAGAGGAAGGUCCCCCACAUUGGAACUGAGACACGGUCCAAACUCCUACGGGAGGCAGCAGUGAGGAAUAUUGGUCAAUGGGCGCAAGCCUGAACCAGCCAAGUAGCGUGCAGGAAGACGGCCCUAUGGGUUGUAAACUGCUUUUAUACGAGAAUAAUUUGAUGCACGUGUGCGUUAUUGCAUGUAUCGUAUGAAUAAGGACCGGCUAAUUCCGUGCCAGCAGCCGCGGUAAUACGGAAGGUCCAGGCGUUAUCCGGAUUUAUUGGGUUUAAAGGGAGUGUAGGCGGUUUGUUAAGCGUGUUGUGAAAUUUAGAUGCUCAACAUUUAACUUGCAGCGCGAACUGUCAGACUUGAGUACACGCAACGUAUGCGGAAUUCAUGGUGUAGCGGUGAAAUGCUUAGAUAUCAUGAAGAACUCCGAUUGCGAAGGCAGCAUACGGGAGUGUAACUGACGCUUAAGCUCGAAGGUGCGGGUAUCGAACAGGAUUAGAUACCCUGGUAGUCCGCACAGUAAACGAUGGAUGCCCGCUGUUAGCGCCUGGCGUUAGCGGCUAAGCGAAAGCAUUAAGCAUCCCACCUGGGGAGUACGCCGGCAACGGUGAAACUCAAAGGAAUUGACGGGGGCCCGCACAA